AGGAAGUCAAGAUGCAAGUACAAAUACAGACCCAGAACAUGAGCCUUUGACUGCUCCUCAGCUCUUGGUCCCAGAUGUCUAUCUAAAUCUGAAGCUUUCCAGUGAAAUGUCAGAGAAACCUUUGUCACCCUCAAUACCUCAUACAGUAACACACUUGGAAUUACCUGUGAGAGAAGAGCCUUCAAAUGAUAAUGUUAUCAAACAGCAAAGCGAUCAUCUAGCAGUUCCAUCGUCUGCAGAGUUACAUUAUAUGGCAGCUUCAGUUACUAAUGCUGUUCCCCCACAUAAUUUUAAGAGUCAAGAAGUAACUCCAGCUUGUCUGGAUGGAAAAAGCUUGAGAGCAGGCAUUACAGAAGUGAAGGAGCCUAGUGUCACCUCACCUACACCAUCAGACAUACACCAGAACAAAGAUCUGCCAAAACCAGAGUUCCGAUUCAAAGGACAGAGCACAAAGUCAGACUCUGCAGAAGAUUAUCUAUUGUGGAAACGGCUGCAAGGUGUCUCUGCAGCUUGCCCUGCACCAAGCUCUGCAGCUCACCAACU
This 543-nucleotide small RNA is filed under the name Pan troglodytes (chimpanzee). RNAcentral describes it as "processed transcript". Lineage: Eukaryota; Metazoa; Chordata; Mammalia; Primates; Hominidae. The record is from RNAcentral.